AAUAAACUAAACAUUAUAUAGAGAAAAAGAAAUUUCAGCACAUAUGACUUUUACGAAAUCCAAAACAAAAGAAUAAAAGAAAGUCAAAAACACUACUGUUUAUAUCUUGCACAACAAACACAAAUUAAUAAUAAAAGUGUAAAAGGCGGCUCCCUAUUCAGUGCUAUGCAUGCUUUCUCGGUAAUUUCUAGUGGAUAAAAAAUUAAUUAAUUAAUUAAUUAAAGCAAGGUAGAAAAAGAGAAAGGACCUUUAUAUUAUAUAAUUUUGCCUUGAAACCGAUUACACUUCAAAUUCGAACCAAGCAUGGUUACUGCAGACCGGAUCUCAGCUUCAAUUACUCUACGUUGACUUGACGACGAUUGAUCUCCAUUAUGUCUUUGAUAUAUUAAUCCCAUACCCAACUGGAUUUGGAUAGAAUAUAGCCACUAUUUUGUUCAAAAAAAAAAAUAUAAGGAAGAUGAAUAAUGGUGAAACUUUAGGUGUUCCUUGUUCAACAUUGAAGAAUCAAGGGGAAGCUGAUGGGUGCGAGUAUUUGGUCUUCCGAUUGUUUUGUGGUGGAUUGUCUGUAAUAGAGUGUAGGUCUAUAUUUAGAUAGUAUUAUAU
RNAcentral lists this long non-coding RNA (603 nucleotides) under Nicotiana benthamiana. RNAcentral describes it as "long non-coding RNA (NBEN_LNC016522)". Lineage: Eukaryota; Viridiplantae; Streptophyta; Magnoliopsida; Solanales; Solanaceae. The record is from RNAcentral.